UACUGAGGGCGCGAGCGUUAUCCGGAAUCACUGGGUUUAAAGGGUGCGUAGGCGGCGAGGUAAGUCAGUUGUGAAAUUCCCCGGCUUAACCGGAGGGACUGCGAUUGAUACUGCUUUGCUUGAAACAGGUUGAGGUAAGCGGAAUGUGGCAUGUAGCGGUGAAAUGCAUAGAUAUGCCAUAGAACACCGAUUGCGAAGGCAGCUUGCUGGGCCUUGUUUGACGCUGAGGCACGAAAGCGUGGGGAGCAAACAGG
This 254-nucleotide ribosomal RNA is filed under the name uncultured bacterium. RNAcentral's name for it is "partial 16S ribosomal RNA". It matches the Rfam family "Bacterial small subunit ribosomal RNA", at positions 524 to 776 of the family's 1533-position model. The record is from RNAcentral.